Non-coding RNA from Misgurnus anguillicaudatus (oriental weatherfish), 2179 nucleotides. The record is from RefSeq and is a predicted model, not a curated record. NCBI's taxonomy places the organism in Eukaryota, Metazoa, Chordata, Actinopteri, Cypriniformes, Cobitidae.
UGGUUAAUUUUCGUAAGGGCUGUUUUUGAAUGUGACGAAAGCGAAAACGAAAGCUGGAGGGACUGGCGAGCGAAUCGUCUCAUGCUUCGAUUCUUUUUUUUAAUGAAUCGAUUGACCCGCAAAUCAAAAUUACAGACAUACUUGUGAAAAUCUAAAAUACAUUAUAAUGGAAUUGCAAUUUAAUAAACAGUUCUUUGCGAAACAAAAUUGUUUAAUACAUUUCGACGUACAUGUCCGAUUUAUAGGAUAUACAGAACUUAAAGAGUGAAAACUCAAAUACAAACGCGAUCAAACACUAAAAAAACAUUACGUUUUUAAACAAAAGGUAAAAGUCAAAUAAAUAACUUUUAAAAACAGAAAUAUUGUGUACACUUUUAUGUGGAGGCUUCAAUGAAUCACAUAUUCGACUCGUCUGAUUCAGGAUUUGAUCAAAUGAGUUGAAUUCGACGACGGGCUGUAAGUUUCGAUAAGUUGUAAUGCCUGAAGGGUGUGGCAUUACCACUUAUCGUCACAUACUUUGUUUAUAUUUUAACUCUUGAUUCACUCCGGUGUGUGUGUUCUCAAACUGUUCAUUAAAGCUUUACCUUAAUUCGCGAAGUUUCACUGAGAAGAAGAUUCGCUUAAAAAUGACACAAAACACUUCCGGAAGAGCGAAUAACUCGAAACUAUACAGUACUGUAACCUCUGUUGGACUACCAUACUCACCAGAUAAACCAUCAAACCCUGACCUGUUGAAACUGAAGCAAGACCUUCGAGAUCUGUUGUCCAGAUAUUCUGAAGGGAUCUCUCUGAGUAAAGCCAGAAGUUUCUGCCCUCUCCUCCUCAAUCCAAAGCUGCUGAAUGAUCACGCAUCCGUACGGCAACUCCUACAAUCCAUGCCUGAUGUGGUGACACUACAGGGAUUCGGGGUCCAAACAAUCCUCCUUCCCACUACCAAAACCGUGCAGUACAAUGCUUUGCCACAAUGCUUUGCAGUCUACAAACAGAACACUUAAGGGGACCAGAACACUUAUGUGAAUCUUUUAAUAUCAGACUCAGGUGAUAUCUCAUACCUCAACAUGUUUAAAAUAUUUUGAAUAAUGGAAACACAGGAAUUGUGGAAAAAUCAUAUAUUUUAUUAUGUUACAAAUAUCAAGAUGUGUCUAUAGACCUAUAAAGAACUAAAGCUGUUUUUUAGUGAAAUAUAGAAAGAAUACUUGGCAACUCAGGAUACAUAUUUAUUAAUCAUUAUAGUGUUUUUAACAAUUGCUUAUAAAAUGCCUAUAUAUUUAAAAAUUAGGGCUGGGCAUACAUUAAUCUCAUACAAAAUAAAAGUAAUUUUUUGCAUGAAUAUAUGAGUUUGUGCUGUGUGUAAAUAUUACGUAUAUUUAAACGCACGCACGCGAAAUGUUUUAUAUAUAUAUAUAUAUAUAUAUAUAUAUAUAUAUAUAUAUAUAUUAAAUUUGCAUAUAUAAAUGUUUCUUAAAUACAUUCAUGAAUGUGUGUGCAUUUAUAUAUACAUAAUAAUUAUACACAGCACAAACUCAUAUAUUCAUGCAAAAAAAAUACUUUUAUUUUGUAUGAGAUUAAUCUAUGCCCAGCACUAUUAAAAAUACAAAAUGUUUUCAAGUAAUUUUACUGCUGGGUUAUGGGACUCUACAUGCAGAUUGUAAUUUAUAACCCAGAUACUUUCAUAAUAAAUGAAAUACAUGUGCUGUUCAAAUGGGUGAAUAUCAUUUGUAAGAUUACACCACAAAAAUCAAUGUGUAGGCCAGCACUGAUCUGUCAUGACAAAAUUGUGCAUGCAAAAAAAAAAGACAAUAUCUAUAAACACAUUCUUUCUAUUUCUAUUUUGGUAUGAAAUGAGAUUCAUGAGGUUCAAAUACUGUUUAUUCACUCAAAUGUAUUUUAUUUUAUGAAAUGUUUAGUUUUAUGUUAAAAAUAUUUAAAUAAUUCAUAUAUGUUUCAGUAUAUGUAAAAAAAGAAUGAAAAAGAUCUGCAUUACAGUAAAAUGGUUAUUAGUGUGCGUGUACAUUUUCUGACUUUAUAAUAAUGUGCAUAAUAGUAUGACAUAAGCAUCAGUCAGUUUUACACUUGCUUACAAUCCAUCCACCCAUUAAUGUGUUACAAAACAAUCACAGUACUAAUGUUGCCCCAUACAGGCUUGUUUGAGGUACUCCAACCUGAGAUUACAUCAUGA